This 1760-nucleotide unclassified non-coding RNA is filed under the name Camponotus floridanus (Florida carpenter ant). Its description in RNAcentral is "uncharacterized LOC105248252, transcript variant X2". The record is from RNAcentral. Lineage: Eukaryota; Metazoa; Arthropoda; Insecta; Hymenoptera; Formicidae.
AUGACAACGGAAGACAGUCGCAGGCCAAUUUACCGCAAAAAUACAAAUUGCACCUGCGGAUGGGAUGUAAAGUUCGGUUACGGCGUGGCAUUUACGCUGGCCGUCUUCGAGGUGAAACGUCUCCUCGUGCUCGCCUUGGAGAUUUUCGCGGAAUGGCAGGUGAUUCGAUUCGCAGGUGGUUUCCAGCCGGUCGCCCUCACCUUAGCGGAGGUGGCUCUAGGAUUGCCAUGCGCCCUUAUAACAGUACGCACCAUACGCAGGCGCAACUUACCGAGUUUUCGCUUGAAGACUAAGCUAGUGCUAAGAUGUCUUUUGAUAAUAAUAAUUAUAUGUACUGCUAUGAACACAGCGACCUUAGCCUCAAUAGGGUAUCGUGUCAGUGUAAGGCAAAAGACGCUAGUCGAUGUCUUCAAUACAUCCAUGCGCCUGUACGUCAGUGUAGCGUCAUACAAGUAUGCGAUUGACGAAAUCCAAUUCGUAUUACAGUGUUGCGGUCACACUUCUUACACUGACUGGUUUCUCUUCGAUUGGCAGAAGGUGGAUUACGCGUCCCGGGAGGAAAUGGCAGGACAAAGCAGAAUCUCGGAUGAGGACUAUAGAGAUCUUGGAGUCCCUUUUAGUUGCUGUAAUUUACGCGUUGUGGCACCCUGUAUGCACAUGCAAAUAACAGAUGAGAAAACUAUAAAUGUGAACGGCUGCGCGGAAGUUAUCAGCCCCAUUCUUCUCAGAAUCGUCAUAGUCGCUUAUAUCAUGACUAGCACUUUAAUCAUUAUACAAGUGUUACUGGUCUUUUUAAUUACUAGAAUGGUCUGCAGAUUCGUACCUCUCCAAACGUCCUCUCCUCGGAUAAGAUGUACUGCUGCGCCAUUCACCAUUAUAGGCACACUUCCAAGGCCUUAUGUGCAACAAUUUUCUUCGGUUGAGAAAUCCAUCUGGCGUAAAAAAACUAUGCGUCGUCGUCCAUUGUCUACGAAUGACGUUGAUAUCAAGGAAAACAUAAAACUUAGAAGAAGCAGUUCUAUUUUGAAUUACAAAAAUUGCAAUACUUGGGACGUGGCAAGGAUUAAACCGAGCGUUCACGAAGAACAUAGAGUAUCUGUGAAGUGUCUUCGCAACAAACGUACACGUUGAAACUCCUGCUGUGCUAAUGAUUCAUAGAUCCAUUUAGCCAUUAAAGCAACGCGGUUCUUUCCAUAAACUGCGCAUUAAUGAUGGUAAAAUAUUAAUUACAAUGAUUAGAGAGGUGUUUCAGAUGCGGUAAUCGCGCAUAAUUCGCCGCACGUAUAAUUGCCAGGUUUCAUUGUCUUAAUGUAAAACCAGCUUUGGUGCCAGAUCCGCUUUAAGAAAAUUAACAUAAAAGAGAUGGCGGAUAAUCUGCUCGUAUGUAUAUUAGUAUAUUUUUCGCGCGCGGAAAAUUUCUCAUAAUAAGCUGGACAUGUUUCAACUGAGGAACAGCUGGGGAGGGCUCGGGCGGGUUCGGGAGCGCUCGGGCCAGCUCGGGAGCGCUCGGGCCUAGUCGGGUGCGUUCGGCGACGCGCGCCAGCCCGAUCUCGCCGCUUGAAUAAUCGUUUGUCAGUUCGCGAACAGCCGUGCGUUAGCACAGUUCGGUUCUCACUUACGGUGUUUCGAGUACGGGCCGAGUGAUCGCUUCCGACCGCCAUUUCGCCGUCGUAGCAUGUGCCCACUAGUCCGGAAUCACGUAUACUACUUAGCGCAUCGUCAAUCGUGCAAUAAACUCGUCUCUUACGGCUACCGUUAGA